CAGAACUUCUGAUGCUGCUUUUAGGUGUCCCCUUCAGAUACAUCACAAUCAUCUAGAAGACUGCCUGACAUACAUGAGCACUCAAUACAUAUCUGUUGAACACUGCUGAGUACAGGAACUGUAAGAGUUCAAAAUCUUCUCAGAAGAAAAAAACUAUUAAACUGUGAGAAAUUCAUUAGAAGGAUAUACAUAGUGUGCCAUGAGAACCCACAGGAGAGACACCUGGAAACAUUCAAGGAAAGCUACUUCAUGAAGGUCAUGACUGAAUGAAAUGAGAAGGUAGCAGCAGAGACAAAAUCCAACAAGGAAACAGCGUAGUACACGUUAACAGCUUUAAUUGGAGAACAGUUCCGCUGUUUUUUUUUUU
Molecule: long non-coding RNA, 367 nt
Organism: Lontra canadensis (Northern American river otter)
Lineage: Eukaryota; Metazoa; Chordata; Mammalia; Carnivora; Mustelidae
Exons: 3
Source: RefSeq, a predicted model, not a curated record